This is a long non-coding RNA of Coccinella septempunctata (seven-spotted ladybird), 761 nucleotides long. RefSeq lists it as uncharacterized. The record is from RefSeq and is a predicted model, not a curated record. Lineage: Eukaryota; Metazoa; Arthropoda; Insecta; Coleoptera; Coccinellidae. The transcript is spliced from 2 exons.
AUAGACAACUUAUAGAUGGGAAACUCUCCUACUAAACGUUUGGAGGUGAUUUUAAUUUCAUCAACACCCACCAGACAGCGCUCGCAUCGUGGUUUUCGGUCUUUCGUUACGAUUUCCAUCAUAAAGUAAGUCAAGUGGGUGUGUUCUGUGAUUUCCAUUUCCUCUGUCUCAUAGACAACUUAAGUUGUCUAUGCUCUGUCUUUCACUGUUGAACUGUCACAGGGGUAACAUUGAGUUUUUGGUUAGCCGGGUGAGCGAAUAUUGGAAUAUUCUAAAUUUCAACAUGGAAAGAAAUAUGAGGUUGAAACCUAAGUGUUGUGUUCCAAAUUGUGAGGAUAGGACAUGCAAGCGUCAUCGGUUUCUGAAUCCAGAAAAAUAUCCUACUCUCUUCAAACUUUGGGUGGAAAAAGUGAAUAAUUCUAUCCUAAAAAAUAAAACACCACAACAGAUACGGAAAACAUAUCUUGUUUGUGAUAGACAUUUUCCAAAAAAUCACAAAACAGAGGGCCGAAAAGGACCCGUCCUGGUUUCUUCCUGAUGAAAGUGAUGAUGUUCUGGAAAUGCAAGAAUGUACGAAUGUUCCAGAGAUCCAUGAAGGCAACAAUGAUCUGAUGAUAGGGGAACCUCCUGGCUGUUCAAAUUCCAUCCACUUAUUGAGACGAGGAGCAGUCAAGAAAAGGGUGAUGAUGAACAUUCACGAAAAAAUUUUACUGAAAAGACUGACUUAUCAGAAUAGAAAAUAUAAUGUUUGGUUUUUUCAA